CGAGAAAAACAAGAAGAAGGAAAAAGCAGAAUGCCUCACCCCCUUUUGAAUUUUUUCAUUAAUGGAAGAAGAAAAAUCAUGUCAACUAAACAACAUCGAUGAUCAAGGAGAAGGAGAACGGGAUGAUGGAAAGAGGAGGGGCAAGUGAUGAUUAUCAUCUUCCUGAGGAAGUGAUGAUUUAAACUUGAAAAGUAUUCUGACGAGAUUACCAGUCCGGAGUCUAGCAGUUUGCAGUUUCGUCACUAAGUACUGGUACAAUUCAAUCUUUAAAAACUCAACAUUUUCUUUGAUUCACAAUAUUCAGAACAAAAAUAAAGAAUUUCUAGUCUUAAAUCUGGUUAAUUUAGCCAGAGGAGUUCACUUUUUCAGUUUAUUAGGGCAAGAAAAUGGGGAGGGUAUAUUAGAAUGAAAAUUCUCUUAGAUAUGAUGUUCCCACAUAUAUAUGAAAUUGUAGGUUUCUGCAAUGGCUUAGCUUCUUUGAAGCUAGCCAUGGCACCUAAUUCUAGUAGUGGUGUAAUAAGUGUCCUUAAUCACAACAGGGGUGAAGCACUUGUCCUCCCUUAUGUUUGUCCUACUGGGGGAUACAUCUUUUUGUGUCAUGGUUUUGGUUUGGAUCAUCAUAACAAGCGUACAAGGCUGUAGCUUUUUUUUUGCUUCAGAAGCCAGCGACGAGUUUCUUUGCAUGGUCAUUACAAUUGGAUUUAUCUCAUGGAGAGCGUUAAGGAUUAGUACUGCUGAUAUCUCACCACCACCGAGUUCUCCUCCAUUUCCUAGUCGAAUGGGUACUAGAGUUUCAAGAACGAUAUGUAGGCCAGACGCCUUUUGUGGGGGUCAUCUUUUUUGGAGGACAAUGAACAAAGUUGGUAAUAAUGAUGAGAAGAUUGAAAUGUUGCUCUCAUUCGGCCUCCACACCGAAGAGAUUCACUUCAUUCAGCUCCCGACUGAAUGUACUCUGAUGACAACACCGACGACUGAGCGUCACUAUUGGCAGAUGAUCAUCUUUUGGAGUUUAAAAGGAUACCCUUGUAUUGCACAUUCUGAGAGGAUGACAACAAGAUCCAACAAUAUGGAUCAUCGUGGCCAUCGUUGUAAUCAUCAGACUGGUGUUUGUUGAUGUUGUUACGAGGUUCAUAUGUACAUAUUGAAGGACAAGACAAGCAAGUAUGGUCCGGGGACGAAACUUUCGAUGUUCAGGUUAUGGAUCAGGAAGAUUUACUACCAACUUCCCUCUGUUGCUUAAUAAAAGAAAGAACUCCUCUCUAUUCGUUCUUAAACACUUCUGCUGCUACGCCUCCUACACGUAUAUUGACUCUCUCCAAUCAGGUAUUAUUGUAUUGGUUCAAUGGGGAACGUCUUAUAUUCUAUAAUUUGCAAGAGAAACGUCUCUAGGUGGUGGAACGCUCCCGCUCCUAUCGUCGUAUUUUUCAAACCAAGAUGAAUAAAAACCUAGAGCGCGGAAUUGGUGAUGAUGAUAAUAUUUAGUGCCCCGUCCAUGAAUUAUCAGCUGCACGCUCAGGUGGAGAACAUUGUUUCUCUGGAAACCUUCAUUCCUAAAGAAGCUAAAACUAGUGUAUGUGGUAGUGCUGAUGAGCUGAGGCACCUUGUCAGUAACAACCUAGUGACAGGAUGGCUGGCUUCGAGAAAAAUACCACACACAGCUUAUGCUUUCACUUAAUUUGUUUGUCCUUUUUCAGUUUUCUGUUCAGACUACUAAUGUUCAUUGCAGUGUUGUUUAUCUGUUUAUUUAUUUCCUAAAGAUCCAUGCAUGAAACUGAAUAGACAUUUGCAAUUGCUAAUAUUCUCACACAGGUUUAUGAUUCUAUUCACAUUGAUUAGUUAUUUGGAUGAAAGCAAUCACUAUUGCAGAAUAUAUGGAAUGUGAUUUGUAGUCCUAAGGAACUGUUGAUGUCUCAGUUGCUUUCACGUCUUACUUUGGUUGUACCUUGCCUAUUCGAGGGUGUGAUGCUGUGCACUGUUGAGAUACAUAACUUUAGCUGUCAAUAGUUUGUUAUGUAAGUUUAUAGCAGUUAUCAUGAUUAUUAGAUGACAGUUCUGUUUGUACAUAUUGUUGGGACUUGAAUUCUCAAUAACCAUCUAUGUUCUGUCACAAAACACUAAUCUUCAAUCAGUUAUACAGUGCUGCUUUUUGUAAAGGUUCAAUGCUUUCGUGGUUCUUCUGGUUUGUUUGCUUGGUACGGCUUACUUUAUGCUUCAGCAGGACCAGUAAGAAUAUGUGGUUACUGCAUCCUCGUCUAUUUGGUAUCGAGCUUUUGAAACACUCCAGUUUCCUAGUGACUCAGCACACACUAAAGGCCACCACCUCUUUGUGGAAGCAACCACCUCCUCCUUGCCAGUAUGGAGAACCACACUCGUUAGACAGAUGUGUGCACCAUCACCUUGUCUCCACAUACUGGUUUAAAUAUGCAUUUCAAAAUUCUACUUUGUGACCCAAAUCUGGUUGCUUUUGUGUUGCACUACUGCGAUUGCCUGGCGCACCCUACCAAAACUAAAGAAAAACAUUGCUAUUAUGCUGCUGUGGUGCGGCUAUUAAAAACUGCAAUACCAGAAAAACAUUUGUUGUUCUGGUAUUGCUUUUUGUAUCCAAGUUUGACUGAUUUUGUUUCAGGAAAUAAUAUGGAGACUGAAAAAAGAUGAUGUAUAUUCUUUUUACCUGAGUGCUUGUUUGUUAUGGUCUAUUUGGAAGGCAAGAAAUAAACUUCACUUUGAGAAGAUCGUCCCUCAUAUUCCAGCAGUGAUCAACGAUGCUUACUCCUGGUUCUCCUUCUAUUUCUUCGCUGAAGAGGACAUUGAUAUUCCUGAUCAACAAGCUCCAGAGAUCACUGCCAUUUCCACUUCUUCUCAAGGCUGGUUUGCUCCUCCUGAAGGUAUCGUCUAGCUGAAUGUGGAUGCAGCUGUGGGUUUAAAUAAUCAUGCCGGUAACUUUCUUGCUGCCACUUCUGCUACAAUCCCCUACAAAACUAUCCCAUUGGUGGCAGAAUCUAUGAGUUUCCUGGCAGGUCCUGAACUUGCUCAACGUCUACAGCUGCAACGUAUUAUCAUUGAAGGAGACAGUCUCAUGUACUGAAUGGCGUUUCUUCUUUCACUCCUUGGAGGAUUCGUUGCUUGGUGGAACAGAUCAAAAGUCUUGCAAUUGCAAAUCAUUUCAUCUCAACAGUGUUCAGAUUCGUGAAGAGAGGAGCUGAUGAAGCAGCUCACAAUCUCGCUUCAUAUGCUUUAGAGCAUAAUGUCCAACAGGAAUGGACAUCUUCUCAACUCCCUUCUUGUAUUUCAAUUUUUGUCUCCUACUUGUAUCAUUUUCUUUGCUUUAAAUGAAUAUGAUAUAUACCUUUUUUUUGGUUUAUCUUGCAUAUUUUCUUUGUAUCCCGAGAGGACAACUCUUUAUUUUUGUAUUUGUAUCCAAAUUGCAUUAUCGACUUCUACAG
Molecule: long non-coding RNA, 3443 nt
Organism: Papaver somniferum (opium poppy)
Lineage: Eukaryota; Viridiplantae; Streptophyta; Magnoliopsida; Ranunculales; Papaveraceae
Exons: 2
Source: RefSeq, a predicted model, not a curated record